GUAGGAGGCGAGCGUUGUCCGGAUUUACUGGGCGUAAAGCGCGCGCAGGCGGCAGUGCAAGUAAGGUGUGAAAUCUCCCUGCUCAACGGGGAGGGUGCACUUUAGACUGCACAGCUCGAGGUCGGUAGAGGGGGGUGGAAUUGCUGGUGUAGCGGUGAAAUGCGUAGAGAUCAGCAGGAACACCCGUGGCGAAGGCGGCCCCCUGGGCCGUACCUGACGCUGAGGCGCGAAGGCUAGGGGAGCGAACGGGAUUAGAUACCCCGGUAGUCCUAGCAGUAAACGAUGGCUACUAGGUGUGGGGGGUGUUGACCCCUUCCGUGCCGAAGCUAACGCAUUAAGUAGCCCGCCUGGGGAGUACGGUCGCAAGACUAAA
RNAcentral lists this ribosomal RNA (373 nucleotides) under uncultured bacterium. RNAcentral's name for it is "bacterial SSU rRNA". It matches the Rfam family "Bacterial small subunit ribosomal RNA", at positions 527 to 898 of the family's 1533-position model. The record is from RNAcentral.